UACAGGGGUCUCAAGCGUUGUUCGGAUUCAUUGGGCGUAAAGGGUGCGUAGGUGGCGCCAUAAGUCGGGUGUGAAAUCUCGGGGCUUAACUCCGAAACUGCAUUCGAUACUGUGGUGCUUGAGGACUGGAGAGGAGACUGGAAUUCAUGGUGUAGCAGUGAAAUGCGUAGAGAUCAUGAGGAAGACCAGUGGCGAAGGCGGGUCUCUGGACAGUUCCUGACACUGAGGCACGAAGGCCAGGGGAGCAAACGGG
This 253-nucleotide ribosomal RNA is filed under the name uncultured bacterium. Its description in RNAcentral is "partial 16S ribosomal RNA". It matches the Rfam family "Bacterial small subunit ribosomal RNA", at positions 524 to 776 of the family's 1533-position model. The record is from RNAcentral.